GAUGAACGCUGGCGGCGUGCCUAAUACAUGCAAGUCGAGCGAACGGACGAGAAGCUUGCUUCUCUGAUGUUAGCGGCGGACGGGUGAGUAACACGUGGAUAACCUACCUAUAAGACUGGGAUAACUUCGGGAAACCGGAGCUAAUACCGGAUAAUAUUUUGAACCGCAUGGUUCAAAAGUGAAAGACGGUCUUGCUGUCACUUAUAGAUGGAUCCGCGCUGCAUUAGCUAGUUGGUAAGGUAACGGCUUACCAAGGCAACGAUGCAUAGCCGACCUGAGAGGGUGAUCGGCCACACUGGAACUGAGACACGGUCCAGACUCCUACGGGAGGCAGCAGUAGGGAAUCUUCCGCAAUGGGCGAAAGCCUGACGGAGCAACGCCGCGUGAGUGAUGAAGGUCUUCGGAUCGUAAAACUCUGUUAUUAGGGAAGAACAUAUGUGUAAGUAACUGUGCACAUCUUGACGGUACCUAAUCAGAAAGCCACGGCUAACUACGUGCCAGCAGCCGCGGUAAUACGUAGGUGGCAAGCAUUAUCCGGAAUUAUUGGGCGUAAAGCGCGCGUAGGCGGUUUUUUAAGUCUGAUGUGAAAGCCCACGGCUCAACCGUGGAGGGUCAUUGGAAACUGGAAAACUUGGGUGCAGAAGAGGAAAGUGGAAUUCCAUGUGUAGCGGUGAAAUGCGCAGAGAUAUGGAGGAACACCAGUGGCGAAGGCGACUUUCUGGUCUGUAACUGACGCUGAUGUGCGAAAGCGUGGGGAUCAAACAGGAUUAGAUACCCUGGUAGUCCACGCCGUAAACGAUGAGUGCUAAGUGUUAGGGGGUUUCCGCCCCUUAGUGCUGCAGCUAACGCAUUAAGCACUCCGCCUGGGGAGUACGACCGCAAGGUUGAAACUCAAAGGAAUUGACGGGGACCCGCACAAGCGGUGGAGCAUGUGGUUUAAUUCGAAGCAACGCGAAGAACCUUACCAAAUCUUGACAUCCUUUGACAACUCUAGAGAUAGAGCUUUCCCCUUCGGGGGACAAAGUGACAGGUGGUGCAUGGUUGUCGUCAGCUCGUGUCGUGAGAUGUUGGGUUAAGUCCCGCAACGAGCGCAACCCUUAAGCUUAGUUACCAUCAUUAAGUUGGGCACUCUAAGUUGACUGCUGGUGACAAACCGGAGGAAGGUGGGGAUGACGUCAAAUCAUCAUGCCCCUUAUGAUUUGGGCUACACACGUGCUACAAUGGACAAUACAAAGGGCAGCGAAACCGUGAGGUCAAGCAAAUCCCAUAAAGUUGUUCUCAGUUCGGAUUGUAGUCUGCAACUCGACUACAUGAAGCUGGAAUCGCUAGUAAUCGUAGAUCAGCGUGCUACGGUGAAUACGUUCCCGGGUCU
This 1372-nucleotide ribosomal RNA is filed under the name uncultured bacterium. Its description in RNAcentral is "bacterial SSU rRNA". It matches the Rfam family "Bacterial small subunit ribosomal RNA", at positions 28 to 1381 of the family's 1533-position model. The record is from RNAcentral.